AUGUAUACAACCAACCUUAACUAAUUUAUGUCAACUAACUAAAAUCAAAACUUUCAACAACGGAUCUCUUGGUUCUCGCAUCGAUGAAGAACGCAGCGAAAUGCGAUAAGUAAUAUGAAUUGCAGAUUUUCGUGAAUCAUCGAAUCUUUGAACGCACAUUGCACCUUGUGGUAUUCCACAAGGUANGCCUGUUUGAGCGUCAUUUCUCCCUCAAACCCCCGGUUUGGUGUUGAGUGAUACUCCGGUCCACUUCAAAUUUAGCUACAACUUAUGUUCUAAUACUUCGUAAGUAACACUAAAAAGAUCGACCUCAAAUCAGGUAGGACUACCCGCUGAACUUAAGCAUAUC
RNAcentral lists this ribosomal RNA (349 nucleotides) under Hyphopichia pseudoburtonii. RNAcentral's name for it is "eukaryotic LSU rRNA". The stretch from base 49 to 202 matches the Rfam family "5.8S ribosomal RNA". The record is from RNAcentral. Lineage: Eukaryota; Fungi; Ascomycota; Pichiomycetes; Serinales; Debaryomycetaceae.